GGGCCCGCACAAGCGGUGGAGCAUGUGGUUUAAUUCGAUGAUACGCGAGGAACCUUACCAGGACUUAAAUGCAUAACGAUCGGUUGAGAAAUCAACUUUUCUUCGGACGGUAUGCAAGGUGCUGCAUGGUUGUCGUCAGCUCGUGCCGUGAGGUGUCAGGUUAAGUCCUAUAACGAGCGCAACCCCUAUUCUUAGUUGCCAGCGGAUAAUGCCGGGGACUCUAAGAAAACUGCCAGCGCAAGCUGUGAGGAAGGUGGGGAUGACGUCAAAUCAUCACGGCCCUUACGUCCUGGGCCACACACGUGCUACAAUGGUAGGUACAAAGGGCAGCCACUUGGCGACAAGGAGCU
This 350-nucleotide ribosomal RNA is filed under the name uncultured bacterium. RNAcentral describes it as "bacterial SSU rRNA". It matches the Rfam family "Bacterial small subunit ribosomal RNA", at positions 917 to 1269 of the family's 1533-position model. The record is from RNAcentral.